Molecule: long non-coding RNA, 866 nt
Filed under: Glycine max (soybean)
Lineage: Eukaryota; Viridiplantae; Streptophyta; Magnoliopsida; Fabales; Fabaceae
Description: long non-coding RNA (GMAX_LNC000232)
Source: RNAcentral
AAAUAUUAAAAAUAUACACACACUCUAAUAUACAUACUCUUUUAAUUAAACUCACUUUAUAUACUAAUAUUGAGUAAAAAUUAUUUGAAAUUACAAAAACUUGUGAUCUCACUCCAUAUUUAAUGAGUUUCCUUUAUGAUUUUAUUGUUUCUAAUAAGUGUCAGAAGUAAGAAAGAAAAAAAAAGUGUGGUGGUAAGUGAGAAAUUAAAAAAGAGUAAUAACACUAAAUUAAGUAUCAAUGGGAGAUUAAUCGGAACAUAGUGUUCUUAAAGUAUGUAACAGUUUCUCGUUGGAAGCACAGUAGCAGUCCUAUAUUACGAAAGGGAUGGUUAUACAGUUCCUGAAGGAGAGGAAGGGGUCAUUGCCAGCGCUGAUGUACAUGUAUGUUUUACAUAUAUAUGGUUUUGAUAUUUCACAGACUUUCGAUCAAAACUUUUGCUCUCCUAAUUUUUCAUCAAAUGUGAAGAUAUAUGCGAAUGCAGGACACGCGUGCUUACGUUACGUGGGCUAGAAUCUGCUGCCAGUUUAUCUAUCAGCUAAUUUGGCGAAGAGAGAAACUCGAUCGGCUAGCUGUCUUCAUGAACAUAUGUGAUUGAUUAAUAGCAAAUUAAUUGACUCAUAUAAUCAUAGGGCGCUAGCAAUGUGGCUUAGACCAUGAAUGGACCAAGCUUUCAGGAAAAAAGAUGAAAGAAACUGGCAAGAUUGCACGUGCAUUAGUCUGCAUCAUUUCAUAGCUAGUAAUAGAUGGUAGACAGUAGCGAUGAAGUGGGCAAUGUCUGUUCAGAAAUAUGUCGGGCUGGCUUUGGUCUCCUAUUCUCUUCAUAAUAAAUCACUAACUCACAAUUAGCAAAGAAGAUUAAUUAAUU